RNAcentral lists this ribosomal RNA (497 nucleotides) under uncultured bacterium. RNAcentral's name for it is "partial 16S ribosomal RNA". It matches the Rfam family "Bacterial small subunit ribosomal RNA", at positions 28 to 507 of the family's 1533-position model. The record is from RNAcentral.
GAUGAACGCUGGCGGCGUGCCUAAUACAUGCAAGUCGAGCGAACAGAUAAGGAGCUUGCUCCUUUGACGUUAGCGGCGGACGGGUGAGUAACACGUGGGUAACCUACCUAUAAGACUGGAAUAACUCCGGGAAACCGGGGCUAAUGCCGGAUAACAUUUAGAACCGCAUGGUUCUAAAGUGAAAGAUGGUUUUGCUAUCACUUAUAGAUGGACCCGCGCCGUAUUAGUUAGUUGGUAAGGUAACGGCUUACCAAGGCAACGAUACGUAGCCGACCUGAGAGGGUGAUCGGCCACACUGGAACUGAGACACGGUCCAGACUCCUACGGGAGGCAGCAGUAGGGAAUCUUCCGCAAUGGGCGAAAGCCUGACGGAGCAACGCCGCGUGAGUGAUGAAGGUCUUCGGAUCGUAAAACUCUGUUAUUAGGGAAGAACAAAUGUGUAAGUAACUGUGCACGUCUUGACGGUACCUAAUCAGAAAGCCACGGCUAACUACGUG